AAAUUGCUUGGUGACAAAUGGACAGUUGUAACCAAAGACCAUAAACUUUCAGCUCAAUAUGAACAUACUAUUUU
RNAcentral lists this transfer RNA (74 nucleotides) under Acinetobacter baumannii BJAB07104. RNAcentral's name for it is "tRNA-Arg". Lineage: Bacteria; Pseudomonadati; Pseudomonadota; Gammaproteobacteria; Moraxellales; Moraxellaceae. The record is from RNAcentral.